Molecule: transfer RNA, 91 nt
Organism: Aureobasidium pullulans
Lineage: Eukaryota; Fungi; Ascomycota; Dothideomycetes; Dothideales; Saccotheciaceae
Rfam family: tRNA
About the family: Transfer RNA (tRNA) molecules are approximately 80 nucleotides in length.
Source: Rfam
UCUUCAUUGGUCUAGUGGUCAUGAUUUCCGCUUGUCAAGAGUAAAAUCUCGUCAAGCGCGGGAGACCGGGGUUCGAUUCCCCGAUGGAGAG